CUCAGUAACACGUGGAUAACUUACCCUUAGGACUGGAAUAACCCCGGGAAACUGGGGAUAAUACCAGAUAAGCCAUAGACGCUGGAAUGCCCUAUGGUUCAAAGCUCCGGCGCCUAAGGAUGGAUCUGCGGUCUAUCAGGUUGUAGUGGGUGUAACGUACCUACUAGCCGACGACGGAUACGGGUUGUGAGAGCAAGAGCCCGGAGAUGGAUUCUGAGACACGAAUCCAGGCCCUACGGGGUGCAGCGGCGCGAACACUUUACAAUGCGGGAAACCGCGAUAAGGGAACCCCGAGUGCCAGCAUCAAAUGUUGGCUGUCCAGAUGAUUAAAAAUCAUUUGUUAGCAAGGGCCGGGCAAGACCGGUGCCAGCCGCCGCGGUAACACCGGCGGCCCGAGUGGUAGCCGUUUUUAUUGGGUCUAAAGGGUCCGUAGCCGGCCUGAUAAGUCCUUUGGGAAAUCUGGCAGCUUAACUGUCAGGCUUCUAAGGGAUACUGUCAGGCUUGGGACCGGAAGAGGUAAGGGGUACUCCAGGGGUAGGAGUGAAAUCUUGUAAUCCCUGGGGGACCAUCUGUGGCGAAGGCGCCUUACCAGAACGGGUCCGACGGUGAGGGACGAAAGCUAGGGGAGCAAACCGGAUUAGAUACCCGGGUAGUCCUAGCUGUAAACGAUGCUCGCUAGGUGUCAGACACGGUGCGACCGUGUUUGGUGCCGCAGGGAAGCCGUUAAGCGAGCCACCUGGGAAGUACGGUCGCAAGGCUGAAACUAAAG
RNAcentral lists this ribosomal RNA (769 nucleotides) under uncultured archaeon. RNAcentral describes it as "bacterial SSU rRNA". It matches the Rfam family "Archaeal small subunit ribosomal RNA", at positions 89 to 861 of the family's 1478-position model. The record is from RNAcentral.